Molecule: ribosomal RNA, 304 nt
Filed under: uncultured Pseudomonadota bacterium
Lineage: Bacteria; Pseudomonadati; Pseudomonadota
Description: bacterial SSU rRNA
Rfam family: Bacterial small subunit ribosomal RNA
Source: RNAcentral
AACGAACGCUGGCGGCAGGCCUAACACAUGCAAGUCGAAGGAGAAGCCCCUUUCGGGGGGUGGACACUGGCGCACGGGUGAGUAACGCGUGGGAAUCUACCCCGGGGUGGGGAAUAACCACUGGAAACGGUGGCUAAUACCGCAUACGCCGUAUUGGGAAAGCUUUAGCGCCCUGGGAUGAGCCCGCGUUAGAUUAGCUAGUUGGUGGGGUAACGGCCUACCAAGGCGACGAUCUAUAGCUGGUCUGAGAGGAUGAUCAGCCACACUGGGACUGAGACACGGCCCAGACUCCUACGGGUGGCAG